CAGCCUUUGUGUCUUACUUUGAAAUUUCGAUAUUUUGAGCUAUACAACUCCAAAUUGGGCGAUUCAAAAGGCUAAGUUGUGAGAUUUUUCGAGGGCAACGCAUUGGUGAGCUUGGAAUCUGAUAUGGCGACCCGAUUUGAGGUAAAUUUUGGGUUUUAACUGCUGUCAUAGCUCAUUUUCGAGCACAAGUUUUGGGAAAUUUUAGAAGGUGAUUUCUUGGCCAUUUUAGGUCCGAAUCAAGUGAUUCAAGAGCCUAUAUUGUGGGGUUUUUCGUGAGGAUCGUCGUGGUGUGAUUGGUUUUGGCUGUUGGAGCUUCAUUUUUGGUAAAAUCUUUGUAUCAACGUUUCGAGGCCUUUUAGAAAGUAAAAGAUCCGGGGAGUGAAUUUUGGAGCGCGCGUGAUCUGCGUUCAGGUCCGAGCACCAGUAGUCAGCGUUGAUCGAGUUUGGAGAAUUUCUGGUCUGGAGACAGGGGUGAGCACACAGGGUUUUGUACUAUUUCAGUCUCCAUCUGUUUAUAUAAAGACUUGUCUUUUACUUUUCGAGACAGUCUAGUUUCGGUGGUCCACUGUUGGGACUUGUACUCGUUUUGUUGGUAGCUCUGUAUUAGUGACUUCCAGGUUC
This is a long non-coding RNA of Solanum pennellii, 621 nucleotides long. RefSeq lists it as uncharacterized. The transcript has 3 exons. The record is from RefSeq and is a predicted model, not a curated record. NCBI's taxonomy places the organism in Eukaryota, Viridiplantae, Streptophyta, Magnoliopsida, Solanales, Solanaceae.